RNAcentral lists this ribosomal RNA (496 nucleotides) under uncultured bacterium. RNAcentral describes it as "partial 16S ribosomal RNA". It matches the Rfam family "Bacterial small subunit ribosomal RNA", at positions 29 to 507 of the family's 1533-position model. The record is from RNAcentral.
AUGAACGCUGGCGGCGUGCCUAAUACAUGCAAGUCGCGCGAACAGACGAGGAGCUUGCUCCUCUGACGUUAGCGGCGGACGGGUGAGUAACACGUGGAUAACCUACCUAUAAGACUGGGAUAACUUCGGGAAACCGGAGCUAAUACCGGAUAAUAUAUUGAACCGCAUGGUUCAAUAGUGAAAGACGGUUUUGCUGUCACUUAUAGAUGGAUCCGCGCCGCAUUAGCUAGUUGGUAAGGUAACGGCUUACCAAGGCGACGAUGCGUAGCCGACCUGAGAGGGUGAUCGGCCACACUGGAACUGAGACACGGUCCAGACUCCUACGGGAGGCAGCAGUAGGGAAUCUUCCGCAAUGGGCGAAAGCCUGACGGAGCAACGCCGCGUUAGUGAUGAAGGUCUUCGGAUCGUAAAACUCUGUUAUUAGGGAAGAACAAAUGUGUAAGUAACUAUGCACGUCUUGACGGUACCUAAUCAGAAAGCCACGGCUAACUACGUG